RNAcentral lists this small RNA (27 nucleotides) under Bombyx mori (domestic silkworm). RNAcentral's name for it is "ovarian small RNA-34172". Lineage: Eukaryota; Metazoa; Arthropoda; Insecta; Lepidoptera; Bombycidae. The record is from RNAcentral.
UGCUCCUGUGACGAUGAUGGUUCUAGA